Molecule: ribosomal RNA, 457 nt
Filed under: uncultured bacterium
Lineage: Bacteria
Description: bacterial SSU rRNA
Rfam family: Bacterial small subunit ribosomal RNA
Source: RNAcentral
AGCGAACGCUAGCGGCGGGCCUAACACAUGCAAGUCGAGCGCAUACCUUCGGGUAUGAGCGGCGGACGGGUGAGUAACACGUAGGUAAUCUACCCUUUGGUGGGGAAUAACCCGGGGAAACUCGGGCUAAUGCCGCACGAGGUCUACGGAUCAAAGCCUUCGGGCGCCAGAGGAUGAGCCUGCGUUGCAUUACCUAGUUGGCGGGGUAACGGCCCACCAAGGGGACGAUGCAUAGCUGGUCUGAGAGGAUGAUCAGCCACACUGGGACUGAGACACGGCCCAGACUCCUACGGGAGGCAGCAGUGGGGAAUAUUGCGCAAUGGGGGAAACCCUGACGCAGCUACGCCGCGUGGGUGAUGAAGGCCUUCGGGUUGUAAAGCCCUGUCGGGAGGGACGAAGUACUGACGGUACCUCCCAAGAAAGCACCGGCUAACUCCGUGCCAGCAGCCGCGGUAAU